AAGAUGGUGAAUGAAAUGGCUUGUAGGGUAUGGAGUGUGGGGAGGACUUUCUUUUCCAGAUAUUUAUGUCUUUGGAAAACACAUUACAGUCAAAGGCCACUGUUUCAAUAUUGAAUAUGGCUGGGUUCAAAGUGAAUAGAAAGUCAACCUUGCACUGGUGAUCAGGACCCAGGUAGGAUCUGACUUAUUAGCCAUAAAUCUUUGAACUGCUCCCACCUUACAAGGAAAGUACCAUCACUGACCCUGAGAUAUUUACUGAGCCUAAUAUUCCAAAUUCUGUGCUGGGUGUUGGAAUGGCACAGCAAAAUCCUAACCCAGCUUGCAAUCUAUGUGGGAGGCAGAUAAAUAAGCCGGCCCAUUGGUGAACAAAUAAGUUGUGUAACAAAUUAACAUGUAAUUUAUCACAAAUAAGUUGUGAUAAGAACAUCAAAGGAAAGAACCUGUACCACAGGAGAGAAUAAUGGGC
RNAcentral lists this long non-coding RNA (466 nucleotides) under Heterocephalus glaber (naked mole-rat). RNAcentral describes it as "lncRNA (ENSHGLG00000040155.1)". The record is from RNAcentral. Lineage: Eukaryota; Metazoa; Chordata; Mammalia; Rodentia; Bathyergidae.